Small nuclear RNA from Ursus americanus (American black bear), 107 nucleotides. The record is from Ensembl. NCBI's taxonomy places the organism in Eukaryota, Metazoa, Chordata, Mammalia, Carnivora, Ursidae.
GUGCUGGCUUCAGUAGCACCUACGCUAAAAUUGCAACGAUACAGAGAAGAUUAGCUUGGCCCCUGCGCAAGGAUGACACGCAAAUUCUUGAAGCAUUCCGUAUUUUU